UACAGAGGAGCCAAGCGUUGUCCGGAUUGACUGGGCGUAAAGCGCACGCAGGCGGCACCGCGCGUGGGGUGUGAAAUCUGGCCGCUUAACGGCCAGGCGCCAUCCCAUACGGCGGAGCUGGAGUGAUGCAGAGGUCGGUGGAAUUGCCGGUGUAGUGGUGAAAUGCGUAGAGAUCGGCAGGAACAUCAGUGGCGAAAGCGACUUCCUGGACCAGUACCGACGUUCAGGCACGAAAGCGUGGGGAGCAAACAGG
RNAcentral lists this ribosomal RNA (253 nucleotides) under uncultured bacterium. RNAcentral's name for it is "partial 16S ribosomal RNA". It matches the Rfam family "Bacterial small subunit ribosomal RNA", at positions 524 to 776 of the family's 1533-position model. The record is from RNAcentral.